RNAcentral lists this ribosomal RNA (497 nucleotides) under uncultured bacterium. RNAcentral describes it as "partial 16S ribosomal RNA". It matches the Rfam family "Bacterial small subunit ribosomal RNA", at positions 28 to 507 of the family's 1533-position model. The record is from RNAcentral.
GACGAACGCUGGCGGCGUGCCUAAUACAUGCAAGUUGAGCGCUGAAGGUUGGUCCUUGUACCAACUGGAUGAGCAGCGAACGGGUGAGUAACGCGUGGGUAAUCUGCCUUUGAGCGGGGGACAACAUUUGGAAACGAAUGCUAAUACCGCAUAAAAACUUUAAACACAAGUUUUAAGUUUGAAAGAUGCAAUUGCAUCACUCAAAGAUGAUCCCGCGUUGUAUUAGCUAGUUGGUGAGGUAAAGGCUCACCAAGGCGAUGAUACAUAGCCGACCUGAGAGGGGGAUCGGCCACAUUGGGACUGAGACACGGCCCAAACGCCUACGGGAGGCAGCAGUAGGGAAUCUUCGGCAAUGGACGAAAGUCUGACCGAGCAACGCCGCGGGAGUGAAGAAGGUUGUCGGAUCGUAAAACUCUGUUGGUAGAGAAGAACGUUGGUGAGAGUGGAAAGCUCAUCAAGUGACGGUAACUACCCAGAAAGGGACGGCUAACUACGUG